This 764-nucleotide long non-coding RNA is filed under the name Anser brachyrhynchus (Pink-footed goose). RNAcentral describes it as "lncRNA (ENSABRG00000003414.1)". The record is from RNAcentral. Lineage: Eukaryota; Metazoa; Chordata; Aves; Anseriformes; Anatidae.
GCGGGGCUGCGCCCACCCUGCCCGGCCGCUCCGGACCUGCGGCUCCUCAGCAUCCCAAAUCCCCCCACUCUAAUUUAUUUAUCUCCCCCCAAAAACAAACAAACAAAAAGUUUAAGAUCCUUUUUCUGUUUAGAAAUUAAUUGGCAAGGAACCGCCUUUCUGGUGCUGGGACAGAGAAAACACUGCGAAAGUCCCCAAGCGGAGCCCCCCGGCGGUCCCUCCCUGCCGGACCCGAGGCCGUACGGGGGCGAUGCCCGCAGCCCGGCCCCAUUUGUCCCGCUGCCCUACAGCCCCGUAGGGAACCGCGGAGGCAAAGCCACGCAAAGUGCUCCCUUCCCCGAAAAGUUGCGGGUGGGACACCGGCAGCGGGCUGGAGGGGGGACGUGGAAACCGGGGGGAGGAGGGGGGGAACUGGAUAAAAUGCCCCUUCGUGUUAUUAUUGCAGGCGCUCCGGGGCUCAGUUUUGUGCGGCAAUGCGAGGAAAGGCCGCCUGGUCUGCAUUUUCCCCCCGAGCUUUGGAGGGCAUUUAACUCCCCGGUACGGCACCGCCUGGGAUCGGUGCACGUCGGUGGACCUGUGGGCAGGACGCGGAGCAGCACUCCAGAAGGCUGGUUUAUAAAAAAGGAGAAGAUAGAGAAUUUCAUCCAAGAAUUCCCAGCUGGAGACAUCUGUUCAGCAGCAAGUCACCUGAUGAACAGUUCUAACCAGCCAAGUGGAAGAACAGUAUCAUCCUUCAGCAAGAAGAUCUGCAUGCUGGAGUCACA